RNAcentral lists this ribosomal RNA (811 nucleotides) under uncultured bacterium. Its description in RNAcentral is "bacterial SSU rRNA". It matches the Rfam family "Bacterial small subunit ribosomal RNA", at positions 121 to 968 of the family's 1533-position model. The record is from RNAcentral.
GUAUCUUCCCUGGCCUGGAAUAACACGAGGAAACUUGUGCUAAUACUGGAUAAGUCUUUACGGAGAAAGCUUUAUGCACCAUUGGAUGAGCCUGCACUUGAUUAGUUUGUUGGUGGGGUAAAGGCCUACCAAGACUGUGAUCAAUAGCUGAUUUGAGAGGAUGAUCAGCCACAUUGGGACUGAGACACGGCCCAAACUCCUACGGGAGGCAGCAGUGGGGAAUCUUGCACAAUGGAGGAAACUCUGAUGCAGCGAUGCCGCGUGAGUGAAGAAGGCCUUUGGGUUGUAAAGCUCUUUCGUCGGGGAAGAAAAUGACUGUACCCGAAUAAGAAGGUCCGGCUAACUUCGUGCCAGCAGCCGCGGUAAUACGAAGGGACCUAGCGUAGUUCGGAAUUACUGGGCUUAAAGAGUUCGUAGGUGGUUGAAAAAGUUGGUGGUGAAAUCCCAGAGCUUAACUCUGGAACUGCCAUCAAAACUUUUCAGCUAGAGUUUGAUAGAGGAAAGCAGGAAUCUCUAGUGUAGAGGUGAAAUUCGUAGAUAUUAGAAAGAAUACCAAUUGCGAAGGCAGCUUUCUGGAUCAUUACUGACACUGAGGAAACGAAAGCAUGGGUAGCGAAGAGGAUUAGAUACCCUCGUAGUCCAUGCCGUAAACGAUGUGUGUUAGACGUUGGAAAUUUUAUUUUCAGUGUCGCAGCGAAAGCGAUAAACACACCGCCUGGGGAGUACGACCGCAAGGUUAAAACUCAAAUGAAUUGACGGGGACCCGCACAAGUAGUGGAGCAUGUGGUUUAAUUUGAAGAUACGCGCAGAA